Molecule: ribosomal RNA, 1335 nt
Filed under: metagenome
Description: bacterial LSU rRNA
Rfam family: Bacterial large subunit ribosomal RNA
Source: RNAcentral
UCGAGUGCGAAGUACCUGAUGUCACACUGCCAAGAAAAUCUUCUAGCGUUUAAUUAUAACCUACCCGUACCGCAAACCGACACAGGUAGUCGAGGCGAGUAGCCUCAGGUGAGCGAGAGAACUCUCGUUAAGGAACUCGGCAAAAUGACCCCGUAACUUCGGGAGAAGGGGUGCUCUACAUUUGUAGAGCCGCAGUGAAUAGGCCCAAGCGACUGUUUAUCAAAAACACAGCUCUCUGCUAAAUCGUAAGAUGAUGUAUAGGGGGUGACGCCUGCCCGGUGCUGGAAGGUUAAGAGGAGUGCUUAGCGUAAGCGAAGGUAUGAAUUGAAGCCCCAGUAAACGGCGGCCGUAACGAUAACGGUCCUAAGGUAGCGAAAUUCCUUGUCGGGUAAGUUCCGACCCGCACGAAAGGCGUAACGAUUUGGGCACUGUCUCAACGAGAGACUCGGUGAAAUUUUAGUACCUGUGAAGAUGCAGGUUACCCGCGACAGGACGGAAAGACCCCAUGGAGCUUUACUGCAAGUUGAUAUUGAGUAUCUGUUGCACAUGUACAGGAUAGGUAGGAGCCGAUGAACUGAGGACGCUAGUUUUCAGUGAGGCGAUGUUGGGAUACUACCCUUGUGUCAUGGCUACUCUAACCCGCAUGCCUAAUCGGCAUGGGAGACAGUGUCUGCUGGGCAGUUUGACUGGGGCGGUCGCCUCCUAAAGAGUAACGGAGGCGCUCAAAGUUUCCCUCAGCAUGGUUGGAAAUCAUGCGUAGAGUGUAAAGGUAUAAGGGAGAUUGACUGCGAGACUUACAAGUCGAGCAGGUACGAAAGUAGGACUUAGUGAUCCGGUGGUACCGCAUGGAAGGGCCAUCGCUCAACGGAUAAAAGCUACCCUGGGGAUAACAGGCUUAUCUCCCCCAAGAGUUCACAUCGACGGGGAGGUUUGGCACCUCGAUGUCGGCUCGUCGCAUCCUGGGGCUGUAGUCGGUCCCAAGGGUUGGGCUGUUCGCCCAUUAAAGCGGCACGCGAGCUGGGUUCAGAACGUCGUGAGACAGUUCGGUCCCUAUCCGUCGCGGGCGUAGGAAAUUUGAGAGGAUCUGCCCUUAGUACGAGAGGACCGGGGUGGACUUACCGCUGGUGUACCAGUUGUCUUGCCAAAGGCAUCGCUGGGUAGCUAUGUAGGGAACGGAUAAACGCUGAAAGCAUCUAAGUGUGAAACCAACCUCAAGAUGAGAUUUCCCAUUCUUUAUGAAUUAAGAGCCCUGAGAGAUGAUCAGGUAGAUAGGCUAGAGGUGGAAGGACAGUGAUGUUUGGAGCGGACUAGUACUAAUAGCUCGAGGACUUUACC